This 256-nucleotide ribosomal RNA is filed under the name uncultured bacterium. RNAcentral's name for it is "partial 16S ribosomal RNA". It matches the Rfam family "Bacterial small subunit ribosomal RNA", at positions 524 to 776 of the family's 1533-position model. The record is from RNAcentral.
UACGUAGGGUGCAAGCGUUAAUCGGAAUUACUGGGCGUAAAGCGUGCGCAGGCGGCUAUGCAAGACAGAUGUGAAAAUCCCCGGGCUCAACCUGGGAACUGCAUUUGUGACUGCAUGGCUAGAGUGCGGCAGAGGGGGAUGGAAUUCCGCGUGUAGCAGUGAAAUGCGUAGAGAUCGGAAAAGAACACCAACGGCGAAAGCACUCUGCUGGGCCGACACUGACACUGAGAGACGAAAGCUAGGGGGAGCGAAUGGG